CCUACGGGAGGCAGCAGUAGGGAAUCUUUCACAAUGGGCGAAAGCCUGAUGGAGCAACGUCGCGUGCAGGAUGAAGGCCUUCGGGUUGUAAACUGCUUUUAUAAGCGAGAAAUAUGAUGGUAACUUAUGAAUAAGGAUCGGCUAACUACGUGCCAGCAGCCGCGGUCAUACGUAGGAUCCGAGCAUUAUCCGGAGUGACUGGGUGUAAAGAGUUGCGUAGGUGGCAUAAUAAGUAGCUAGUGAAAUCUGGUGGCUCAACCAUUCAGACUAUUAGCUAAACUGUUAAGCUCGAGACCGUUAGGGGUAACUGGAAUGUCUAGUGUAGGAGUGAAAUCCGUAGAUAUUAGAAGGAACACCAAUAGCGUAGGCAGGUUGCUGGGACGGUUCUGACACUAAGGCACGAAAGCGUAGGGAGCAAACGGGAUUAGAUACCCUAGUAGUC
Molecule: ribosomal RNA, 442 nt
Filed under: uncultured bacterium
Lineage: Bacteria
Description: partial 16S ribosomal RNA
Rfam family: Bacterial small subunit ribosomal RNA
Source: RNAcentral